Molecule: ribosomal RNA, 256 nt
Filed under: uncultured bacterium
Lineage: Bacteria
Description: partial 16S ribosomal RNA
Rfam family: Bacterial small subunit ribosomal RNA
Source: RNAcentral
UACGGGUAGUGCUAGUGUUAUUCCUCUUGAUUGGGCGUAAAGGGUGUGUAGGCGGUAUAAUAAGUUAGAAAUGAAAGACUAUGCUUAUCAAUUGUAAAUUUCUAAAACUAUUAUACUAGAGUAAUAUGAAAGAUAGCGGAACCUUUAACAUCAGAGUUGAAAUGCGUAUACAUUAAAGGGAACCCCGAAGGCGAAAGCAGCUAUCUAUUUAUUUCUGACGCUGAGGCACGAAGGCAUGGGGAUCAAAUAGGAUUAG